This 434-nucleotide ribosomal RNA is filed under the name uncultured bacterium. RNAcentral describes it as "bacterial SSU rRNA". It matches the Rfam family "Bacterial small subunit ribosomal RNA", at positions 957 to 1391 of the family's 1533-position model. The record is from RNAcentral.
GAACGCGAAGAACCUUACCCGGGCUUGAAUUGCAGACGAACGAUUCAGAGAUGAAGAGGCCCUUCGGGGCGUCUGUGAAGGUGCUGCAUGGUUGUCGUCAGCUCGUGCCGUGAGGUGUCGGCUUAAGUGCCAUAACGAGCGCAACCCCUUUUCUUAGUUGCCAUCAGGUCGUGCUGGGCACUCUGGGAAUACUGCCACCGUAAGGUGUGAGGAAGGUGGGGAUGACGUCAAAUCAGCACGGCCCUUACGUCCGGGGCUACACACGUGUUACAAUGGCCGGUACAGAGGGCAGGUUGCAUGUAAAUGCGAUCGAAUCUUAAAAGCCGGUCCCAGUUCGGACUGAGGUCUGCAACCCGACCUCACGAAGCUGGAUUCGCUAGUAAUCGCGCAUCAGCCAUGGCGCGGUGAAUACGUUCCCGGGUCUUGUACACACC